This 253-nucleotide ribosomal RNA is filed under the name uncultured bacterium. Its description in RNAcentral is "partial 16S ribosomal RNA". It matches the Rfam family "Bacterial small subunit ribosomal RNA", at positions 524 to 776 of the family's 1533-position model. The record is from RNAcentral.
UACGUAGGGACCAAGCGUUGUUCGGAUUUACUGGGCGUAAAGGGCGCGUAGGCGGCCUGUUAAGUCGAACGUGAAAUCCCUGGGCUCAACCCAGGAACUGCGUCCGAUACUGGCAGGCUUGAAUCCGGGAGAGGGAUGUGGAAUUCCAGGUGUAGCGGUGAAAUGCGUAGAUAUCUGGAGGAACACCGGUGGCGAAGGCGGCAUCCUGGACCAAUAUUGACGCUGAGGAGCGAAAGCCAGGGGAGCAAACGGG